RNAcentral lists this ribosomal RNA (434 nucleotides) under uncultured Clostridium sp. RNAcentral's name for it is "partial 16S ribosomal RNA". It matches the Rfam family "Bacterial small subunit ribosomal RNA", at positions 341 to 792 of the family's 1533-position model. Lineage: Bacteria; Bacillati; Bacillota; Clostridia; Eubacteriales; Clostridiaceae. The record is from RNAcentral.
ACGGGAGGCAGCAGUGGGGAAUAUUGCACAAUGGGGGAAACCCUGAUGUAGCGACGCCGCGUGGGUGAAGAAGUUUUUCGGAAUGUAAAGCCCUAUCAGCAGGGAAGAUAAUGACGGUACCUGACUAAGAAGCCCCGGCUAACUACGUGCCAGCAGCCGCGGUAAUACGUAGGGGGCAAGCGUUAUCCGGAUUUACUGGGUGUAAAGGGAGCGUAGACGGAAUAGCAAGUCUGAAGUGAAAGCCCGGGGCUCAACCCCGGGACUGCUUUGGAAACUGUAGAACUAGAGUGCAGGAGAGGUAAGUGGAAUUCCUAGUGUAGCGGUGAAAUGCGUAGAUAUUAGGAGGAACACCGGUGGCGAAGGCGGCUUACUGGACUGUAACUGACGUUGAGGCUCGAAAGCGUGGGGAGCAAACAGGAUUAGAUACCCUGGUA